UGAUCCUGGCUCAGGAUGAACGCUGGCGGCGUGCUUAACACAUGCAAGUCGAGCGAAGCACUUCACUUUUAUUCUUCGGAUGCGAGGUGAUUUGACUGAGCGGCGGACGGGUGAGUAACGCGUGGGCAACCUGCCUCAUACAGGGGGAUAACAGUUAGAAAUGACUGCUAAUACCGCAUAAGACCGCGGUGCCGCAUGGCACAGCGGUAAAAACUCCGGUGGUAUGAGAUGGGCCCGCGUCUGAUUAGCUAGUUGGCGGGGUAACGGCCCACCAAGGCGACGAUCAGUAGCCGACCUGAGAGGGCGACCGGCCACAUUGGGACUGAGACACGGCCCAAACUCCUACGGGAGGCAGCAGUGGGGAAUAUUGCACAAUGGGGGAAACCCUGAUGCAGCGACGCUGCGUGAGCGAUGAAGUAUUUCGGUAUGUAAAGCUCUAUCAGCAGGGAAGAAGAUGACGGUACCUGACUAAGAAGCCCCGGCUAACUACGUGCCAGCAGCCGCGGUAAUACGUAGGGGGCAAGCGUUAUCCGGAUUUACUGGGUGUAAAGGGAGCGUAGACGGCGAUGCAAGCCAGAUGUGAAAGCCCGGGGCUCAACCCCGGGACUGCAUUUGGAACUGUGUGGCUGGAGUGUCGGAGAGGCAGGCGGAAUUCCUAGUGUAGCGGUGAAAUGCGUAGAUAUUAGGAGGAACACCAGUGGCGAAGGCGGCCUGCUGGACGAUGACUGACGUUGAGGCUCGAAAGCGAGGGGAGCAAACAGGAUUAGAUACCCUGGUAGUCCACGCCGUAAACGAUGACUGCUAGGUGUCGGGCGGCAAAGCCGUUCGGUGCCGCAGCAAACGCAAUAAGCAGUCCACCUGGGGAGUACGUUCGCAAGAAUGAAACUCAAAGGAAUUGACGGGGACCCGCACAAGCGGUGGAGCAUGUGGUUUAAUUCGAAGCAACGCGAAGAACCUUACCUGGCCUUGACAUCCCCACGGAUGCAGGGCAAUGCCUGCAGCCCCUCGGGGCGUGGGAGACAGGUGGUGCAUGGUUGUCGUCAGCUCGUGUCGUGAGAUGUUGGGUCAAGUCCCGCAACGAGCGCAACCCCUGCCCCUAGUAGCCAGCACGUAGAGGUGGGCACUCUAGGGGGACUGCCGGGGACAACCCGGAGGAAGGCGGGGACGACGUCAAAUCAUCAUGCCCCUUAUGGCCAGGGCUACACACGUGCUACAAUGGCGCGCACAGAGGGAAGCGAGGCGGCGACGCGGAGCGAAGCCCGGAAAGCGCGCCCCAGUUCGGAUUGCAGCCUGCAACUCGGCUGCAUGAAGCCGGAAUCGCUAGUAAUCGCGGAUCAGAACGCCGCGGUGAAUACGUUCCCGGGUCUUGCACACACCGCCCGUCA
This 1385-nucleotide ribosomal RNA is filed under the name uncultured bacterium. Its description in RNAcentral is "16S ribosomal RNA". It matches the Rfam family "Bacterial small subunit ribosomal RNA". The record is from RNAcentral.